UACGAGGGGGGCAAAUGUUGUUCGGAAUCACUGGGCGUAAAGGGAGCGUAGGCGGGUUCUUAAGUAAGGUGUUUAAUCCCGGGGCCCAACCCCGGACCGGCACUUUAAACUGGGAAUCUUGAAUAGUGGAGAGGUCGGUGGAAUUGGGGGUGUAGCGGUGGAAUGCGCAGAGAUCCCCAAGAACACCAGUUGCGAAGGCGGCCGACUGGACACAUAUUGACGCUGAGGCUCGAAAGCAUGGGGAGCAAACAGG
This 253-nucleotide ribosomal RNA is filed under the name uncultured bacterium. Its description in RNAcentral is "partial 16S ribosomal RNA". It matches the Rfam family "Bacterial small subunit ribosomal RNA", at positions 524 to 776 of the family's 1533-position model. The record is from RNAcentral.